Phyllostomus discolor (pale spear-nosed bat) is the source of this 113-nucleotide long non-coding RNA. RefSeq lists it as uncharacterized. NCBI's taxonomy places the organism in Eukaryota, Metazoa, Chordata, Mammalia, Chiroptera, Phyllostomidae. The transcript has 3 exons. The record is from RefSeq and is a predicted model, not a curated record.
AAAAUAUAUGCCUAUGACCUCAUUACCUGAGUAAUUGGUUGCAAUAUAGACCUGACUUAAGGAGCCCAUCUUCAUCAUUGCCCCCUGAGACUCAAUGGUUUGGGUGAACUGAC